AACAAGAGCUUGCCAGUUGUAAUCCAGAGCUGUAACUGAAUUCCCCAAAGACAACCACCGAGUUGUUGAUAACUUUAUGAAUUUCCUUGAUUUUUGUUCAAGGAUAUCUUGAACAUUCUUCAAUCGCCUGGUAUUUGCAGGGGAGCAUUCAAAAUAAGAAUGAAUUCUUCAGACUACUGAUUAUAUACCUAUAAACCAGUAGUCUGAUGUAGCACGCUAUAAGUAGUUGUACAAAACUAAAAUUAGUCGUUACUUUUUCUUUGUGCUGCUUUUUGAAUGAAGCAGUGUAGUGAGCCAGAAUUGUGGCGACAUUGUUACAGAACAUUGCUGAGUUCUUGCAGAAGUAUUUUUCCUUUGGGGAAUAAAAAGUUUUGCUUUUCUUUUCUGCCGAAAUUUUCAAGUGAUUUUAUCUUUUCUUCAGAAUUAUAUUCAAAAUAAGCCUUUCUCGCAUUUCGGAGUGGGGGAAAAAAUACUUGUGAUAUUUCUAUUCUAAUUGGAGAAUAAUGAAAGAUAAAGAAUGAUGAAGUAAAAAUUUUGAUUUUCUUUUCUUUGGAAAUGUUCAUUCCAAUUUUUCAUGCAGUUAUUACUAUUGAUUUCCACAUAGUUUUUAAAAUCCGUCCCAACAACUAAAUCUCAAAAUGAAAACACGCGUUUAGUAACCCCUUUUUGAAGAGUCUGAUUCGCAGGAUUUCGUCGUCUAUCUUUUUUAUCGGCAGUUACUGCUACGGAUUUUAUUUUUUUAAUGCGAUUAUGAAUUAUAAAGUGCGAAAAAGGAAAUAUUAGUGUGUUAUCUUUCUACAAAGGGCUAGAAUAUCGCUUAUAAUAUUAGAAUGAGAAAAAUCGCAUAUUCAAUUAAAAAAAUUAUUUUAUUUGCUCCAAUUUUCAUAUCUAUAUUUAAUUAAUUUAACUUUUUUGAAGUUACAGUUAUUUUUUUUUGAAGUCUGUACAUUUGUUAUUGUUAAAUAUCUUGUAUAUUUGUUGUUGUUAAAUAUCUAUAUGAUAUUGUUAAAUAUCAUAUUAGUAUUAAAGAGGUAUGUCUCAGAAAGCCUGAAAAAAAUUCUGCCACACCGGAUAGUACUAACGUAACUUAUGUUAUUUAAACUGUGUACCCUAAUUUGGUUCAUUUUGACCGCUGGCUAAUUUAAUCUUGAUACUUAAUUAUGCUUGGUUUCACUUGAAUGAUUUUACAAGAAUUAUCUCGCUUUUUUUUUAAAGUAUAACAAUGUGUCAGAUUUUCAUUAUCUUUAAGAAGAAGAAACAUAUCAAAAGUGCUUGAUACUAAAAUAUGAUGAAGAUGUAGGAUGCAAAACGAAAUGUUUUUUAGAAUGAUUCAACUAAAAUUCCACCACCUUUUCAUAGCCAUAAGAUUGUUUCUGAGUCUUUUCUUUCUAAAAGGUAAA
This is a non-coding RNA of Parasteatoda tepidariorum (common house spider), 1400 nucleotides long. The record is from RefSeq and is a predicted model, not a curated record. Lineage: Eukaryota; Metazoa; Arthropoda; Arachnida; Araneae; Theridiidae.